UGUUCAUCAACCAAUCUCACGUGGUUCGUUGCGCGUUCGUAAAUUGGCGGGGCACGUAUGGUGGAGGACUUCGAGAAAACGUCACAACAGUCAAAGUGGUUAUCAUGACAGUCAGACUCAGAGCCAAUGAAGUGGAUGCUGUC
Long non-coding RNA from Patiria miniata (bat star), 143 nucleotides. RefSeq lists it as uncharacterized. The record is from RefSeq and is a predicted model, not a curated record. Lineage: Eukaryota; Metazoa; Echinodermata; Asteroidea; Valvatida; Asterinidae. The transcript is spliced from 2 exons.